RNAcentral lists this unclassified non-coding RNA (240 nucleotides) under soil metagenome. RNAcentral describes it as "partial contains 5.8S ribosomal RNA, internal transcribed spacer 2, and large subunit ribosomal RNA". The record is from RNAcentral.
AACGCACGAGACCUGCGGACCUGCGGAAGGAUCAUUACCGAGUUUUCAACUCCCAAACCCCUGUGAACAUACCUAUCGUUGCCUCGGCGAGAGUAGCCCCAGGCGUUGGCGCAAGCCUUCGCCCUGGUAUCAGGCGCUCGCCGGAGGACCCAACUAAACUCUUGUAUUCUAAAGAAUCUUCUGAGUAACCAAAACAAAUAAAUUAAAACUUUCAACAACGGAUCUCUAGAUCGGAAGAGC